RNAcentral lists this ribosomal RNA (451 nucleotides) under uncultured bacterium. Its description in RNAcentral is "partial 16S ribosomal RNA". It matches the Rfam family "Bacterial small subunit ribosomal RNA", at positions 29 to 523 of the family's 1533-position model. The record is from RNAcentral.
AGCGAACGCUGGCGGCAGGCUUAACACAUGCAAGUCGAGCGGGCAUAGCAAUAUGUCAGCGGCAGACGGGUGAGUAACGCGUGGGAACGUACCUUUUGGUUCGGAACAACACAGGGAAACUUGUGCUAAUACCGGAUAAGCCCUUAAGGGGAAAGAUUUAUCGCCGAAAGAUCGGCACGCGUCUGAGUAGCUAGUUGGUGAGGUAAUGGCUCAGCAAGGCGACGAUCAGGAGCUGGUCUGAGAGUAUGAUCAGCCACAUUGCGACUGAGACACGGCCCAAACUCCUACGGGAGGCAGCAGUGGGGAAUAUUGGACAAUGGGCGCAAGCCUGAUCCAGCCAUGCCGCGUGAGUGAUGAAGGCCCUAGGGUUGUAAAGCUCUUUUGUGCGGGAAGAUAAUGACGGUACCGCAAGAAUAAGCCCCGGCUAACUUCGUGCCAGCCGCCGCAGUAA